UACGGAGGGUGCAAGCGUUAUCCGGAAUCACUGGGUUUAAAGGGUGCGUAGGCGGCAUGAUAAGUCAGAGGUGAAAGCUUGCGGCUCAACCGUAAAAUAGCCUUUGAUACUGUUAUGCUUGAAUCAGGUUGAGGUAGGCAGAAUGUGGCAUGUAGCGGUGAAAUGCAUAGAUAUGCCAUAGAAUACCAAUUGCGAAGGCAGCCUGCUGGACCUGCAUUGACGCUGAGGCACGAAAGCGUGGGGAUCAAACAGG
Molecule: ribosomal RNA, 253 nt
Filed under: uncultured bacterium
Lineage: Bacteria
Description: partial 16S ribosomal RNA
Rfam family: Bacterial small subunit ribosomal RNA
Source: RNAcentral